UAAUGGCCCUGCCACUGUCAGUUACAAUCAGGGUAAUUACCACACCUGAAGGUGUUACGCAAUUGGGUAGCUUUGACAAUCAAACGGGUGGGUAUAAAAAGGCAUGAAAUUAUAAUGCGUAAUGACGCACAACGGCUGCUUUGGCACUGUUGGAAGAUUUGACGAAUGGAAGAAUUCGGAGAGAGUGAAUUUUCAGAGACCAGCUAGAUUUACUGGGCGAUGGACUGCAUCUGCAUGGCCGCUGGAGGGUUGUGACGCAUGAGGUGCAGUGGAGACGCCGGGGCUGGGCGCACUCAGCGCCUGCGCAACUGCAUCACCACCGACCCCGCUGGAAAACUCUGCGACUAAAAACAAUAGAACAUG
Long non-coding RNA from Oncorhynchus keta (chum salmon), 363 nucleotides. RefSeq lists it as uncharacterized. The transcript has 2 exons. The record is from RefSeq and is a predicted model, not a curated record. NCBI's taxonomy places the organism in Eukaryota, Metazoa, Chordata, Actinopteri, Salmoniformes, Salmonidae.